GACCAAUCUGAUGGCCUAGCAGUUAGAGCAUCUGCCUCAAAUGUAGGUGGCCCUGGGUUCAAACCCCAGCUAAGUCA
Potamilus streckersoni is the source of this 77-nucleotide non-coding RNA. NCBI's taxonomy places the organism in Eukaryota, Metazoa, Mollusca, Bivalvia, Unionida, Unionidae. The record is from the annotation of a GenBank genome assembly.